RNAcentral lists this ribosomal RNA (200 nucleotides) under uncultured bacterium. Its description in RNAcentral is "partial 16S ribosomal RNA". It matches the Rfam family "Bacterial small subunit ribosomal RNA", at positions 29 to 224 of the family's 1533-position model. The record is from RNAcentral.
AGUGAACGCUGGCGGCAGGCCUAACACAUGCAAGUCGAACGGCAGCACAGGAGAGCUUGCUCUCUGGGUGGCGAGUGGCGGACGGGUGAGGAAUGCGUCGGAAUCUGCCUAUUUGUGGGGGAUAACGUAGGGAAACUUACGCUAAUACCGCAUACGACCUACGGGUGAAAGUAGGGGACCGCAAGGCCUCACGCAGAUAG